GAGGGGCGCUGUCUGUGUUACUGUGCCUGAGGAGAGGAGCUGCUGAUGAGUCUGGAGUAAGGCAAAUGGGGAGCAAAUGAAAUGAAAGCUCCUACCUUAGCUAGAAAACCUCUUCCCAUUAGGGGCACAGGGCAAGUUGGCACAACUAAAAAUGUGUGGGUAAGAGGGAUACCCCUGAAAAUACAAUUAAGUGGUGGGGUCUGGUGAGGUAGGAAAGGCUGUCCCCUACCAUGACA
This is a non-coding RNA of Peromyscus maniculatus bairdii (prairie deer mouse), 236 nucleotides long. NCBI's taxonomy places the organism in Eukaryota, Metazoa, Chordata, Mammalia, Rodentia, Cricetidae. The record is from RefSeq and is a predicted model, not a curated record.